AUUGAACGCUGGCGGCAGGCCUAACACAUGCAAGUCGAGCGGGGACUUCGGUCCUAGCGGCGCACGGGUGUGUAAUGCUUGGGAAUCUGCCCAGUAGUGGGGGAUAACGUCCCGAAGGGGGGGCUAAUACCGCGUAAGUCAUACGGGAAAAAGAGAGGGAUCUUCGGACCAAUCACGAGUGGAUGGGCCCAAGUCGGAUUAGCUAGUUGGUAGGGUAAUGGCCUACCAAGGCGACGAUCCGUAGCUGGUCUGAGAGGAUGAUCAGCCACACUGGAACUGAGACACGGUCCAGACUCCUACGGGAGGCAGCAGUGGGGAAUAUUGGACAAUGGGCGAAAGCCUGAUCCAGCCAUGCCGCGUGUGUGAAGAAGGCCUUCGGGUUGUAAAGCACUUUAAGCGGGGAGGAAGGUUCGCGGCCUAAUACGUCGCUGAAUUGACGGUACCCGAAGAAUAAGCACCGGCUAACUCUGUG
This 472-nucleotide ribosomal RNA is filed under the name uncultured bacterium. Its description in RNAcentral is "partial 16S ribosomal RNA". It matches the Rfam family "Bacterial small subunit ribosomal RNA", at positions 30 to 507 of the family's 1533-position model. The record is from RNAcentral.